CUUAGCAAAUCUUCAGAAAUUUCCCAAAUCUUUUUAGGAUAUAUUGGCAUAAAGUAUUUUUAGUUUUCAUGUCUCAGUAUUCAGUCAUUAAGUGAAAUAGGAAAGCCCCUACUUUAAUAUUUUGUCUCAAGCACAGAUUGUCUGCUCUGGUUAUUAUAGUUGCUUGUGCCAAGACCUUCAUUUAAGUACAUCUGACUUGCUACAUGGAAUGUAAAAGUAAAUGAAAUAGAUUGUAUUUUCCCAAUAUGGCUAUACAAUAGCUCACAUCCCAUAUGUUCUUUUGAACAUGACUCCUCUGUCAUCCAUGUCUGGUACCUAACUGCCCUUUCCUUGAAUCUAGGUUGGUUUGUGAUUAAUUUGUAUCCAAUUAAAUUUAGCAGAAGUAAUGCAACAUAACUUCCAAGACCUAGUCAUAAAAUGCAUAUAAUUUCUGCCUUGCUGCCUAGGAAAUUUAUCUUUGGAUCCCUGAGCCAUGCUGUGAGAGUUACCUUAAGAGUGCCAUGCUAUGAGAAAGUGCAGGCCUCAGAGAGAGGCCAUGCGCGGGUUCUAGUCAACAGCCUUAACUGUGAUCCCAGGCAACAGUCAGCAUUGGCCGUUGGAGCUCUUUAGAUAAUUCCAGCUCCCUUUGUUCAAGUCACCCCAGCCUUUACACCUUUCCAGAUAAGGCUUUAGACACCGUGAGGGCUUCAGUGAUCCUAAGGUUGUUGAAUUCAGUGGAAACCUUUCAGUAGCACUUGAUACUGCAGAUCUCCAUUCUUCUCUUCAUUGUCAGGAUAUCAGGCAGUCUGUAUUCCCUUCUCGCUGUCUGUUACGGCUCAUUACCAUGCCACUUGCUUGGUACUCCUCCAGUAGAUUUCCAAAUGCUGGAAGUAUUAAAAAUGAAUGAAUAAAUAAAUAAAUACAUAAA
Macaca mulatta (Rhesus monkey) is the source of this 907-nucleotide non-coding RNA. The record is from RefSeq and is a predicted model, not a curated record. Lineage: Eukaryota; Metazoa; Chordata; Mammalia; Primates; Cercopithecidae.